UGCGGACCCUACGCCGAGUCCAGCCCGGGGCUGCUGGGCCAGCGGGAGCGGGAACCGGACGGCGCUCGCGUUCUGCCAGAGCGGAGAACGACUCGGGGACGGUGCGGAGGACCAGGGGAGGAGAUCCGCGCCCGCACGCACCAUCAGCCGAGAGGACGGCCCGCAUCGCGCCAGUGACCUAGGAGCGACUCGGGGACGGCUUCGGGCUCCCAGGCCCUCCUGGGCCACCGGGCACUGAGGAGAGCGGCGGCUGGAAACUGUGGGACCCGAAGGGCGGGAGCCCAGGGCCCGCCCCCGCCGGAGCGCCCCCGCCAUGGCCACGCCCCCGCCACGGGGAUGGGCAGGGCAAGCACCGGAAGUGCGUCACGCGGGAGCGUCUGCGUCGCCUACCCUGCGUGGCGCAGCUAGGUUCCGAGCGGCUUAGCCUCCGGGCGCCUGCGCAGUGGCGGUCCUAGAGACGCACUCGGUUGCCAUAGAGACGGGGGCUUGGGAGCGACGUCGCGCUCGCUGGCACUGGCGGCACUUGCCGCGCCGCAGCCACCUCUUUCCGACUCCACCAGUGCGGGCCCUAUCCGGGGUUUUGAGUCACGCAGACCUGGACACAGCGAGAAACGGCAGUCCGGGCCCGUCCUCCCGCCCCGGGUUCUGCACCCCAGAGUUGGACGCUUGCUUCUCGCUUUCUCCUGAGAGAAGUCUCCGCGUUUCUGAACAAUGCACUGCUAGUUUCUCAUUUCUUUCUUUCUUUCUUUUUUUUUUUUUGGAGACGGAGCCUCGCCCUGUCGCCCAGGCUGGAGUGCAAUGGCGCGAUCUCGGCUCAUUGCAACCUCCGCCUCCAGGGCUUAAACUAUUCUCUUGCUUCAGCCUCCCGAGCAGCUGGGACUACAGGCAUGCGCUACCACGCACAGCUAAUUUUUGCAUUUUUAGUCAAGACGGGGUUUCACCAUUUUGGCCAGGCUGAUUUCGAACUCCUGACCUCGUGAUCUGCCCUCCUAGGGCUCCCAACGUGCUGGGAUUAUAGGCGUGAGCCACCGCGCCCGGCCUCUCAUUUCUUAAUUGUAGACAUUGCGUACUUCCGGAGAAGGUCCCUGAGAACCUGGCUGAUCUUCCCCGCUGCACCCCUCACGUGGUCCUGUUAGCUCCCAAACUGUCAACCUGAAAGGAAACCCAGAGGCAGGCUCUCCAGGACAAGUGAGUUAAUCUGGGAAUCGCAGGGGGUUGCAGCCUAGGCUGUUCGUGCCAUGACAGAUCAUAGGCCUAUCUGAGAGGGCCGGGCGAAGGGGAAAAUACAGAUGAGCUCACAAAAGUUGUUUUGUAACAAAAACCACUGGCUGUGGGCGCUUGCUGCAGGAGUGGGCGUUAGCUUGUUGUUGGAGAGAGCCUUACCAGGCCGACGUCCUUGUGCAAGCUGCUUAUCUAGAAUACUGCAGUCCUGAGGAAUUUCCCUGCAGUAAGUCCGGUUACAGGCAAACGUGCAGGACGUGCAGGAGCGUCUUGUGAGGAGGCCUGCUGCAGGUAUUCCUGCAUGAGAGCUCCCCCUUCGUGGCCUCCCGACUCCAUUUGUUUAGGGAUUGGUGGAAGUAGUUCCAUUUUGGUACCUGCAACUUUCACAGCUGUCGUGAUGAAAUCAGGCUUAGCUCUUCAUGAUUGAGUACCUGCUGUUCACUGCUACAGUAUAAAACCAUGCCACAAUUCCUGUACAAUCUUUUUUUUUCUUUUGAGUUAAUAAUUACCUAAUAUUUUCACAUAUCUAGCUUUUUACUAACCCAUGGCCAGCCUUUUUUUCAAGUACCCCAACGUUUUCGCCACAUGCCUAACGAUACCGUUUUCCAAAGGCUCAAACACAUCCGUUGUGUCUAACUGAUUCUCCUGUUCCGACCUAGACCGAUCACUUCCUGACCCGGCUGCACAGCUCUUAUCUCGAGCUUUUCUCUGCUCUCAUCCUUGAGACUCACUUUGUCUGUCUCCUUUCUUGGAUUCCCUGUGUAAACGAAAAAUAAAAUCCUAAGCUCUCUAC
RNAcentral lists this long non-coding RNA (2014 nucleotides) under Homo sapiens (human). Its description in RNAcentral is "non-protein coding lnc-FNDC10-1:5". Lineage: Eukaryota; Metazoa; Chordata; Mammalia; Primates; Hominidae. The record is from RNAcentral.